RNAcentral lists this ribosomal RNA (332 nucleotides) under uncultured bacterium. RNAcentral describes it as "bacterial SSU rRNA". It matches the Rfam family "Bacterial small subunit ribosomal RNA", at positions 28 to 362 of the family's 1533-position model. The record is from RNAcentral.
GACGAACGCUGGCGGCGUGCUUAACACAUGCAAGUCGAGCGGUAAGGCCCUUUCGGGGGUACACGAGCGGCGAACGGGUGAGUAACACGUGGGUGACCUGCCCUCAGCUCUGGGAUAAGCCUGGGAAACCGGGUCUAAUACUGGAUAUGACUCCAUGACGCAUGUUGUGGGGUGGAAAGCCUUGUGCGGCUGAGGAUGGGCCCGCGGCCUAUCAGCUUGUUGGUGGGGUGAGGCCUACCAAGGCGACGACGGGUAGCCGGCCUGAGAGGGCGACCGGCCACACUGGGACUGAGACACGGCCCAGACUCCUACGGGAGGCAGCAGUGGGGAAC